RNAcentral lists this ribosomal RNA (440 nucleotides) under uncultured bacterium. Its description in RNAcentral is "partial 16S ribosomal RNA". It matches the Rfam family "Bacterial small subunit ribosomal RNA", at positions 338 to 795 of the family's 1533-position model. The record is from RNAcentral.
CCUACGGGGGGCUGCAGUGGGGAAUAUUGCACAAUGGGGGAAACCCUGAUGCAGCGACGCCGCGUGAGUGAAGAAGGAUGUCGGUAUGUAAAGCUCUAUCAGCAGGGAAGAAAAUGACGGUACGUGAUUAAGAAGACCCGGCUAACGACGUGCCAGCCUCCGCGGUAAUACGUAGGGGGCAAGCGUUAUCCGGAUUUACUGGGGGUAACGGGAGCAUAGACGGCAGGACAAGUCUGGAGUGCAAUGCGGGGGCUUACCCCCGGAACUGCGUUGGAAACUGUGCAGCUAGCGUGCAGGAGAGGUAAGUGGAAUUCCUAGUGUAGCGGUGAAAUGCGUAGAUAUUAGGAGGCACCCCAGUGGCGAAGGCGGCUUACUGGACUGUAACUGCCGUUGAGGCUCGAAAGCGUGGGGAGCAAACCGGAUUAGAUACCCCUGUAGUC